GGGUUGUGAGGUUAAGCGACUAAGCGUACACGGUGGAUGCCCUGGCAGUCAGAGGCGAUGAAGGACGUGCUAAUCUGCGAUAAGCGUCGGUGAGGUGAUAUGAACCGUUAUAACCGGCGAUUUCCGAAUGGGGAAACCCAGUGUGUUUCGACACACUAUCAUUAACUGAAUCCAUAGGUUAAUGAGGCGAACCGGGGGAACUGAAACAUCUAAGUACCCCGAGGAAAAGAAAUCAACCGAGAUUCCCCCAGUAGCGGCGAGCGAACGGGGAGGAGCCCAGAGCCUGAAUCAGUGUGUGUGUUAGUGGAAGCGUCUGGAAAGGCGCGCGAUACAGGGUGACAGCCCCGUACACAAAAAUGCACAUAUUGUGAGCUCGAUGAGUAGGGCGGGACACGUGGUAUCCUGUCUGAAUAUGGGGGGACCAUCCUCCAAGGCUAAAUACUCCUGACUGACCGAUAGUGAACCAGUACCGUGAGGGAAAGGCGAAAAGAACCCCGGCGAGGGGAGUGAAAAAGAACCUGAAACCGUGUACGUACAAGCAGUGGGAGCCUCUUAAUGGGGUGACUGCGUACCUUUUGUAUAAUGGGUCAGCGACUUAUAUUCUGUAGCAAGGUUAACCGAAUAGGGGAGCCGAAGGGAAACCGAGUCUUAACUGGGCGUUAAGUUGCAGGGUAUAGACCCGAAACCCGGUGAUCUAGCCAUGGGCAGGUUGAAGGUUGGGUAACACUAACUGGAGGACCGAACCGACUAAUGUUGAAAAAUUAGCGGAUGACUUGUGGCUGGGGGUGAAAGGCCAAUCAAACCGGGAGAUAGCUGGUUCUCCCCGAAAGCUAUUUAGGUAGCGCCUCGUGAAUUCAUCUCCGGGGGUAGAGCACUGUUUCGGCAAGGGGGUCAUCCCGACUUACCAACCCGAUGCAAACUGCGAAUACCGGAGAAUGUUAUCACGGGAGACACACGGCGGGUGCUAACGUCCGUCGUGAAGAGGGAAACAACCCAGACCGCCAGCUAAGGUCCCAAAGUCAUGGUUAAGUGGGAAACGAUGUGGGAAGGCCCAGACAGCCAGGAUGUUGGCUUAGAAGCAGCCAUCAUUUAAAGAAAGCGUAAUAGCUCACUGGUCGAGUCGGCCUGCGCGGAAGAUGUAACGGGGCUAAACCAUGCACCGAAGCUGCGGCAGCGACACUAUGUGUUGUUGGGUAGGGGAGCGUUCUGUAAGCCUGUGAAGGUGNNNNNNNNNNNNNNNNNNNNNNNNNNNNNNNNNNNNNNNNNNNNNNNNNNNNNNNNNNNNNNNNNNNNNNNNNNNNNNNNNNNNNNNNNNNNNNNNNNNAUGCUGGAGGUAUCAGAAGUGCGAAUGCUGACAUAAGUAACGAUAAAGCGGGUGAAAAGCCCGCUCGCCGGAAGACCAAGGGUUCCUGUCCAACGUUAAUCGGGGCAGGGUGAGUCGACCCCUAAGGCGAGGCCGAAAGGCGUAGUCGAUGGGAAACAGGUUAAUAUUCCUGUACUUGGUGUUACUGCGAAGGGGGGACGGAGAAGGCUAUGUUGGCCGGGCGACGGUUGUCCCGGUUUAAGCGUGUAGGCUGGUUUUCCAGGCAAAUCCGGAAAAUCAAGGCUGAGGCGUGAUGACGAGGCACUACGGUGCUGAAGCGACAAAUGCCCUGCUUCCAGGAAAAGCCUCUAAGCAUCAGGUAACAUCAAAUCGUACCCCAAACCGACACAGGUGGUCAGGUAGAGAAUACCAAGGCGCUUGAGAGAACUCGGGUGAAGGAACUAGGCAAAAUGGUGCCGUAACUUCGGGAGAAGGCACGCUGAUAUGUAGGUGAAGCGACUUGCUCGUGGAGCUGAAAUCAGUCGAAGAUACCAGCUGGCUGCAACUGUUUAUUAAAAACACAGCACUGUGCAAACACGAAAGUGGACGUAUACGGUGUGACGCCUGCCCGGUGCCGGAAGGUUAAUUGAUGGGGUUAGCGGUAACGCGAAGCUCUUGAUCGAAGCCCCGGUAAACGGCGGCCGUAACUAUAACGGUCCUAAGGUAGCGAAAUUCCUUGUCGGGUAAGUUCCGACCUGCACGAAUGGCGUAAUGAUGGCCAGGCUGUCUCCACCCGAGACUCAGUGAAAUUGAACUCGCUGUGAAGAUGCAGUGUACCCGCGGCAAGACGGAAAGACCCCGUGAACCUUUACUAUAGCUUGACACUGAACAUUGAGCCUUGAUGUGUAGGAUAGGUGGGAGGCUUUGAAGUGUGGACGCCAGUCUGCAUGGAGCCGACCUUGAAAUACCACCCUUUAAUGUUUGAUGUUCUAACGUGGGCCCCUUACCGGGGUUGCGGACAGUGUCUGGUGGGUAGUUUGACUGGGGCGGUCUCCUCCUAAAGAGUAACGGAGGAGCACGAAGGUUGGCUAAUCCUGGUCGGACAUCAGGAGGUUAGUGCAAUGGCAUAAGCCAGCUUGACUGCGAGCGUGACGGCGCGAGCAGGUGCGAAAGCAGGUCAUAGUGAUCCGGUGGUUCUGAAUGGAAGGGCCAUCGCUCAACGGAUAAAAGGUACUCCGGGGAUAACAGGCUGAUACCGCCCAAGAGUUCAUAUCGACGGCGGUGUUUGGCACCUCGAUGUCGGCUCAUCACAUCCUGGGGCUGAAGUAGGUCCCAAGGGUAUGGCUGUUCGCCAUUUAAAGUGGUACGCGAGCUGGGUUUAGAACGUCGUGAGACAGUUCGGUCCCUAUCUGCCGUGGGCGCUGGAGAACUGAGGGGGGCUGCUCCUAGUACGAGAGGACCGGAGUGGACGCAUCACUGGUGUUCGGGUUGUCAUGCCAAUGGCACUGCCCGGUAGCUAAAUGCGGAAGAGAUAAGUGCUGAAAGCAUCUAAGCACGAAACUUGCCCCGAGAUGAGUUCUCCCUGACUCCUUGAGAGUCCUGAAGGAACGUUGAAGACGACGACGUUGAUAGGCCGGGUGUGUAAGCGCAGCGAUGCGUUGAGCUAACCGGUACUAAUGAACCGUGAGGCUUAACCUUACAACGCCGAAG
Molecule: ribosomal RNA, 3013 nt
Filed under: Escherichia coli
Lineage: Bacteria; Pseudomonadati; Pseudomonadota; Gammaproteobacteria; Enterobacterales; Enterobacteriaceae
Description: 23S ribosomal RNA
Rfam family: Bacterial large subunit ribosomal RNA
Source: RNAcentral